Small nuclear RNA from Molossus molossus (Pallas's mastiff bat), 191 nucleotides. RefSeq annotates it as U2 spliceosomal RNA. The record is from RefSeq and is a predicted model, not a curated record. Lineage: Eukaryota; Metazoa; Chordata; Mammalia; Chiroptera; Molossidae. The transcript has a single exon.
AUAGCUCCUUGGACUUUUGACAGAGAUCAAGUGUAGUAUCUGUUCUUAUCAGUUUACUAUCUGAUAUGUCCUCUAUCUGAGGACAACAUAUUAAAUGGGUUUGGGGGAUUAGGGGAUGGAAUAGGAACUUGCUCCGUUCACUCCACAAAUCAACCUGGUAUUGCAGUACUUCAAGGAAUGGUGCACGGAAA